UGAUAAAUUUGUACCACUGCAAGCUCAUUGCCAAGCUCGAACAGUUCAUCCCUCGUUUGAUUUCAUUGUCAAUUUUCAGGCAAGGCAAAUGAACAGGAAGUUGAUGAAAGCAAUGAAGACCUUUACUUUAGAAUAUUGAUUCAUUGUUUUUGGACCUUUUAGAUGUUCUGUGAAACUUUUACUUUGGAAACUUUUGUAAACUUACACUAUGUUAACUCUUGAAUUGUCAAACAAUAUUGUAUAUUUUACUUUUACAUGUGAAUAAUACUAAUCGGAUGAUUUGGAUUA
Lycium ferocissimum is the source of this 288-nucleotide long non-coding RNA. RefSeq lists it as uncharacterized. The transcript is spliced from 2 exons. Lineage: Eukaryota; Viridiplantae; Streptophyta; Magnoliopsida; Solanales; Solanaceae. The record is from RefSeq and is a predicted model, not a curated record.